This is a long non-coding RNA of Aethalodelphis obliquidens (Pacific white-sided dolphin), 271 nucleotides long. RefSeq lists it as uncharacterized. The transcript has 3 exons. The record is from RefSeq and is a predicted model, not a curated record. NCBI's taxonomy places the organism in Eukaryota, Metazoa, Chordata, Mammalia, Artiodactyla, Delphinidae.
CAUUUGUGGGGAGGAAGGUGAUCUCCACGUCUUACUCCUCUGCCAUCUUGAAGAAUCUUAGGUCCAUGACCAGAGAUCAGCAGUGAAGGUGCAGUGUCCUAACCACUGGACCACCAGGGAAUUCCUAAAGGGGGAGUCAUGGAAGAUUUUUCUGAACAGAGGAAUACGUAUGAUUAAAAACUUUUAUUAAAAAUGUUAAUUUGGUAGGCUUCUCUGGUAGCGCAGUGGUUGAGAGUCUGCCUGCUGAUGCAGGGGACACAGGUUCGUGCCC